RNAcentral lists this long non-coding RNA (1581 nucleotides) under Populus trichocarpa (black cottonwood). Its description in RNAcentral is "long non-coding RNA (PTRI_LNC003641)". The record is from RNAcentral. Lineage: Eukaryota; Viridiplantae; Streptophyta; Magnoliopsida; Malpighiales; Salicaceae.
CUCGUUUUCUUCCACUUUUCCGACACCAGCUUUCUGGGUUUGAUUCUCUGCUCCAGGUGGCUUUGCUUUGGACUUGACAGUCUUUCCUUCCAGUCCAUUGGCCAUGAUUUGGUGAGAUUGAAGCUUAGGUUGGGACUUCCUAAUUGGGGUUUUUGAAGCGCCAUUAUCCUUGUUACCAUUUCUCUGAAUUCCCUUGGUUGGGUUGCUUGAUUCUUGGUUCAGACGUGGGCUGUGAGAAGCUCGUGGGCUAAAAGAAGAUCCACUGUCUUCCAAAGAGUUGUUCGUUAAAGUGGUGGAGCUCUUGCGCCUUCCAAGCUUCGGUGAUAUUGCACGAGUAGUUGGUAUCUAUAAGAAUUAGCACACAAAACUUUAUCCCGAUGUUCCAUAGAGAAGAUGGAGAAAAAAAAAACAAGGAAUCCAAAUGAAACAGGCAGAAGAAAUACACAUUAAAAUGCAGUUAAGCUAGAUAAACUUAGAAUUGAACUAGCAAGUGUGUUUUUUUGUGCAAAUAUAUUCACAUGUAUGUAGGAUGAGCCGCAGACAAUUGUCUCAUGUUGGCUUGAAUUCGUGAAGUUCCCCAAUUAUCAAUCGGAAUUGGCAACGAGGACUUGAGACUAGCACUGGAUUUCUGAUAUUCAUGUUCAAUAGCACACAAGCUGUUAAGGGUAGCUCCGUUUAUAGUUCAUGCAAUGUAGAAUGAAACUACGUGAACGUUCUUCUUUGGAAAAACAGAAGACAAAGCUCCUGAGUCAUAACAGAUAACCAUGACCGUAUGCUCUCUUCAACCUCCAGUCCUUUGGAAACUCCUACUGUUAGAGGAAAUCUCUCUUCAGUUACACAAUCAGCAGAGGAGGAUAUCUCUCUAACACCUACUUCUAUUUUGAAGCAAAGACAGAGACCAAUGGCUAUUUACAAGCCUUGGUAAGUCUUAGGCAUGUACCCAUCAAUUACGAUUGAAGUUCAGACCUUCAUCACGUUUUAAAAACACUGGGUGUCCCAUUUAUUUUUAUUUAUUUAUUUUUGACAAAAUCAGCAAGCAUUGCAGAGACGCCCUCACUAGCAAACGUCAACACCUUACCAUGCAAAAUAGACUCAUGAAUGCAAGAUCCUAAGCUAACGCAUCACCUGCAGUCCUAAAAAACAAUAAUUGCAAUUUGCAAAGGCCAAACGAAAGCCUAAAAACUGCACAAUCAUUUACUGUAUAAAUGCAUCGUCAUUAAAUAUGUCUGGUUACAAAUAAUUAGGGACUUCAAGAUUCAUUUAAAUUUUAGGCCACAUUUAGAAAACUCAAUUUAACAGGUACAGACAAACAAACAUGUCAACAGAACAUGUGGAUUUGAAACCACAGUUUACAAAUUUGUUAGUCCACAUAAUGUAGAUAGCAUUAGCAAAAACAUAAUGAGACAUUUGAAAAAAUAGUGAUAAUUUAAAGGCUUUUAAAGAGUUCAUUUGGUGUGCUUCUAAUCUUAAAGUUGAUGGAAUGCUGGUAAUGCGGAAUGCGAACAAAUGACAUGACAUUAUCGAUAGAUAUCUGACAGUUCAAGCAUUACCUUCUUUAGUUCUGCUUUUGGAGGAGGUUCU